Spea bombifrons (plains spadefoot toad) is the source of this 237-nucleotide long non-coding RNA. RefSeq lists it as uncharacterized. Lineage: Eukaryota; Metazoa; Chordata; Amphibia; Anura; Pelobatidae. The transcript is spliced from 3 exons. The record is from RefSeq and is a predicted model, not a curated record.
GCUAUAGUGAUGGCAGCCCUUUUCUUGCUCUGCUGUGUACCACUUUUUGCUUGUUGCUGCCUUAGAUGCUGCCAGUGUCUUCCUUGCUUGAGAAGACAACCAAAAGAGUUGGCAGAAAUUAAAAAGAAGCAAAAAGAACACGAAGAAACCCUAGACGAACUGGGUGAACUGUUAGAGGUGGAUCUAGAAAGAGGAGAACUAGAUGAACUCCUGAAGGAGGUUACAGCUGAGCUGGCG